UCGCACGAGAAAGCCGGGGCAACCUGGUGAGUAAAGUGGCGUACGGGUGAGUAACACGUGGGUAAUCCACCUUCUAGUGGGGAAUAACCCUGGGAAACCGGGGCUAAUACCGCAUAAGCCUGAGAAGGGAAAGCAGCAAUGCGCUGGAAGAGGAGCCCGCGGCCGAUUAGCUAGUUGGUGGGGUAAUGGCUCACCAAGGCGAUGAUCGGUAGCCGGCCUGAGAGGGCUCACGGCCACACUGGCACUGAAAUACGGGCCAGACUCCUACGGGAGGCAGCAGUGGGGAAUUUUGCACAAUGGAGGAAACUCUGAUGCAGCGACGCCGCGUGAGCGAUGAAGCCCUUCGGGGUGUAAAGCUCUUUCGACGGGAACGAUAAUGACGGUACCCGGAGAAGAAGCUGCGGCUAACUACGUGCCAGCAGCCGCGGUAAUACGUAGGCAGCGAGCGUUGUUCGGAAUUACUGGGCGUAAAGAGUGUGUAGGCGGCGCUUCAAGUUCGGUGUGAAAUCUCCCGGCUUAACUGGGAGGGUGCGCCGAAAACUGGAGUGCUUGAGCAUGGGAGAGGAAAGCGGAAUUCCUGGUGUAGCGGUGAAAUGCGUAGAUAUCAGGAGGAACACCUGCGGUGUAGACAGCUUUCUGGACCAUUGCUGACGCUGAGACACGAAAGCGUGGGUAGCAAACAGGAUUAGAUACCCUGGUAGUCCACGCCCUAAACGAUGCAUACUUGGUGUGGGCCAUUCAGUUGGUCCGUGCCGGAGCUAACGCG
This 766-nucleotide ribosomal RNA is filed under the name uncultured bacterium. RNAcentral describes it as "bacterial SSU rRNA". It matches the Rfam family "Bacterial small subunit ribosomal RNA", at positions 62 to 859 of the family's 1533-position model. The record is from RNAcentral.